GUGCUUACUUUGGCAGCACAUAUACUAAAAGUGGAAUAAUACAGAGAAGAUUAUCAUGGCCCCUGAACGAGGAUGAUAAGCAAAUUAAUCAUGGGGUUCAUAUUUUU
This 107-nucleotide small nuclear RNA is filed under the name Dasypus novemcinctus (nine-banded armadillo). The record is from RNAcentral. Lineage: Eukaryota; Metazoa; Chordata; Mammalia; Cingulata; Dasypodidae.